Molecule: ribosomal RNA, 550 nt
Filed under: Chrysoporthe cubensis
Lineage: Eukaryota; Fungi; Ascomycota; Sordariomycetes; Diaporthales; Cryphonectriaceae
Description: eukaryotic LSU rRNA
Rfam family: Eukaryotic large subunit ribosomal RNA
Source: RNAcentral
GAAAAGAAACCAACAGGGAUUGCCCUAGUAACGGCGAGUGAAGCGGCAACAGCUCAAAUUUGAAAUCUGGCCUCGGCCCGAGUUGUAAUUUGCAGAGGAUGUUUCUGGCGCGGUGCCUUCCGAGUUCCCUGGAACGGGACGCCACAGAGGGUGAGAGCCCCGUAUGGUUGGACACUAAGCCUGUGUGAAACUCCUUCGACGAGUCGAGUAGUUUGGGAAUGCUGCUCAAAAUGGGAGGUAAAUCUCUUCUAAAGCUAAAUACCGGCCAGAGACCGAUAGCGCACAAGUAGAGUGAUCGAAAGAUGAAAAGCACCUUGAAAAGGGGGUUAAACAGUACGUGAAAUUGUUGAAAGGGAAGCGCUUGUGACCAGACUUGCGCCGGGCGGCUCAUCCGGGGUUCUCCCCGGUGCACUCCGCCCGGCUCAGGCCAGCAUCGGUUCUCGUUGGGGGAUAAGAGCGGCAGGAACGUGGCCCUCCUUCGGGUGGGUGUUAUAGCCUGCCGUACGAUACCCUGACGGGGACCGAGGUUCGCGCUCCGCAAGGAUGCUGG